UUUUUUUUUUUUUUUUUUUUUUUUUGAGGUAAUCUCACUCUGUCACACAGGCUAGAGUGCAGUGUCGCAAUCUCAGCUCACUGCAACCUCUGCCUCCGGGUUCAAGCGAUUCUCCUGUCUCAGCCUCCCGAUAGCUGGGACUACAGGCAUGAGCGACCAUAUCCACCUAAUUUUUGUAUUUUUGGUAGAGACAGGGUUUCACCCUGUUGGCCAGGAUGGUCUCAAUCUUUUGACCUUGUGAUUCGCCCACCUUGGCCUCCCAAAGUGCUGGGAUUACAGGUGUGAGCCACCAUGCCUGACCACAAAUACUGCUUUUUGGCUUUCCAGUCACCAACCUGUAUUCAGCUUCCAUCUCUCCACUUAUAACAUGGCAGCAGCUCCCAAAUGGUUCUCAUGCCCCCUCUGGCUUCCCUUGGAUCUUUCCUGCACAGCCACCUGGUUCCAUCCCUCUAGAUUUUGAUGUGUAGAUAUGACCUUGUCUCUCCCAUGCUAUGGUUCUCAGCAUAAAGUCUCAUGCCCCAAAAGCUGUUAAUCUCCUACCACUUCCCUAUGUUCACCAAACUACUCAGGCUACAUCCAUUUAUCCUUUGUGGCUCCUACUUCUUCAUCCUUUAAGAUAUGAAGUGAGGCUUGAAUUUUGUUUCUGCUGCAAAUCCUUAGAUGACAGUCCCUUCUCCCCCUAGUAAGUAGCAAUUCUUUCUCUCUGUGCUUUAAACACUCUGCAUUUUCACAAGUUAUAACACUUGUCCCAUUGGGUCAUAAACUUUUGUUUUUGCAUCUGUGCCUCUGUUUACCUGAGACAGCCUUGAGAGCAGAAAACAUAUCUCAGAUUCAUCAAUGCACCCCUAGAGACUAGCAAAGCCAAAGGCAUAUAGUCAGAGAACUGAAUGGUUGAGUGGGCAAAGCAUUCAAUAUUUUAUAUAAGUUGCCUUGCGUUUACUGAAAGGCCAGAUUCUAGGCUCUUGCAGGCAUAUGCAUAAGUGGGAGAGACACUUUCUGCUACUAACAAGUAUAUGCUGUAGAAGAAGAGGUAAAGUUGCACAAAUAUCUUCAGUGCAAGACUGCAUGGGAGAAAGAGCAAAGGUAGAGGGGAAGUAGCUCCCACAUGGCCAGAAGUGAUCAAUGAAACCAAGGUUAUCAUUUAAUCCCAGAACUGGACAGUUACUUUUCCAGAGAAAGGCUGUCUUGGGUUCCUUGCGUCCCACUGCAGAUGAGGCAGUGAUGAACUUUUCAUUGAAAAAUGAUUGUGCAACCAUCACAUUCUUGAUUCUUCCAGCUACAAAUUCCCAAAAUGCAAAUUUCUGUGGGUUGAAAGGUGCUAGAAAAUGAAAUUUCUUGGGAAAUUCACUGGAGAUUCUCCAUGAAAAUUAACAUGUCCAAUUUUCUUUAGGUAGCAUAUAUUAGAUAACCUUAUUAUCCCUCCUCAGUAAUUACAGCCUUUGGGUUUUUUGAGCUAAAAUUACAUAAAGGUAAAAUGGAAUCUUAGAAUUGUAUUACUAGGAGGAAAUGAGAAAAGACUCUACGGAUAUUUCACUGACUGCAUUUAAAUGUAAAAAUGUAGUGGAUACAUACACACACACGCACACACACUCACUCAAAUCUCAGACUUCGCGUAUUCAUUUUCUAUUGCUGCCAUAACAAAUUACCACAAUGCAGCAGUUUAAAACAACAGCUGUUUAUUAUCCCACAGUUCUGUGUGGCACAAGUCCGGGUGCAGUAU
This is a long non-coding RNA of Macaca mulatta (Rhesus monkey), 1720 nucleotides long. Lineage: Eukaryota; Metazoa; Chordata; Mammalia; Primates; Cercopithecidae. The record is from Ensembl.